This 3465-nucleotide long non-coding RNA is filed under the name Carassius auratus (goldfish). RNAcentral describes it as "lncRNA (ENSCARG00000050401.1)". The record is from RNAcentral. Lineage: Eukaryota; Metazoa; Chordata; Actinopteri; Cypriniformes; Cyprinidae.
GGAACAGAGAGGCAGAAAGACAGAGCGGCAAAUGGGAAGCUUGGAAGGGACACAGAGAGGGAAGUCAGAUAGCAAAAAGUGGAGAACACAAACAGACAGAACAUAAAGGUGGGUGAAGGGCAAACAAGAUGCAUUACAGUGUCCUGUUUAUUAAUCAGUAGCGCUGCUGUUACUCCCCAGAACUUGAGAUAAGUAUUAAGACAGGGUUUUAAGGUGGCACAUCACACCAAAAACUUCCCAGCAUCCCUUCUGCUAGCAAAUGUUGACGUAUCGUUCUGCUGACACAAGUCAGCUGAUUGCUGUGUCACGGCAAUGGUUUUAGGCAAGUGGCAGCGCUCCGGCUACAGACGUAGAGUCUUUUUUUCCUCCCAGACGCACUGCGGCACAGCCAGACGACUAGAGUGGAGGCACAGGAGCUCACAGCUGCAGUCUACUGGCUUGUUUCGGGGAGGCAGAGGAGCCGAGCACUUCCUCUCGAAAUACCGUCGCUCUGCUUAUUUUUGCCGUUGAGGGAUCAUUUUCAUUGGGGCAGAUAGUAGAGCCAAGAAAGAAGACAAACUCUGAGUCCAACAACUUGGAAUUAACGUUGGUCUCAUUUGUAGACAGGAAAUUUGGAGAAGCGAGCUGGAUCUUAAUUUUUUUAGGGGUUGCUGACGCCAUCGCUUGCGAGCACCAGACCAGGUUCCUAGGCUGAGAAGUUGGUGCUAAAAGCUUGGAUUCCAGUCCGUCACCUGUCCGUCCCGUCAUAAACCCGUCCCACACGAGACGUCCAGUCAGUCGGGCCCAUCUGCAUUUCCAUUUGCGCCGACCAUCCAAAGCAGCUCCUCUGCUUCAAGGUUAAGGUGGCUUUCGGUCCUAGACUUAGUCCUUGUCCAGAGGGCAGGGCAGAGGCGAACAGAAACAGCGAAGCAGCAGCUAAGCAGAGCUCAGCCAGACAGACGCGGUGACCUAAAUCAGCCCCAGUCAUGUCUGGACGCAGCCAGAGCAAGGCAGACGGAGAGGAAGACAGAGCGAGAGAGAGAGGGAGAGAGCGACCCAAACGUACCGACUUGAACAUAUACUCACACUACGUAAACGGCCGGAUAAAAGGCGGGCUGAAAUGCAGUUUUUGGGCGGUCACCAACAAGCUACUGUACAGGAGGAGACUCUGGGAAAGUAAGGGAUAUCUUUCAAGUAAGAAAAUCCUGCUCCAGUGUGCCACAAGUCAUUGGAGAAGACAGGGCUUUGGAAGGAGAAAGGAAACCUUUAUUUUUUCUGUCCACAGAGAAGUAUAUGAAGGCAUAAAUUCAUAAUGUCUCUCCAAGAAAUGUAUAUUCAAACCAAAAAUUAUUCAGACACCAGAUACCAUUUUUUGAUAUUGUUUUAUUUUUUUUACUAGUGGGUGCAGGAUACUUGUUUAUUUGUGUUAAGUGAGGAUAGCAAAAUAAAGAAAACUGUGACAUAUUAUACCUAAAAAUUCUUUAUACAGUGGACUACCCAACAAAUUUGGGACCAAAAAUUAUUAUCACUUUGACCUAACCAUGUUUUUCUUAAGUUUUUUCCUUUAAUUGCUAAUGUGACAUUUUAUACCAUAGACCCCCCUUCCUCAAAUCUUAGGGCCGUUUCAUAGUCUAAACAGUAAACGCAAGCGUCACGAGUGAUGCGUGUAUGCAAUACACCGCUCACGCAACAGGGGGUAGUAGAGUCGGGUCGCGUGAUAUUCAGAUCACAAUAGCAACUGUAGAGGAGUGUAUUCUGUUGCUGAUGAACUAUCGUAUAAAUGUGGAUGAAUACGUAUAAGUUUGCAUAAUUUUUCCUCUUCGCCCGCCAUUGUAUUCAAACCUUCUUCUUCUGUAAACACAAUAUACUUGAAUUAAUGUACAAUAGUAUUGCGUGAAUCGGCGCAUCGCGUAUCAAUAACUAGGACGACACAUUUGGCUACGCACCGACGCAUAAUGGCGGCCGAAGCGUAAUGAUGCGUAGGCUCGGGGACGCAUAUGCGUACAGAUGUGUUGACUAUGAAACGGCCCUUACCCUGGAGGUCCAAUGCGCUGCAGAGUUUAGCACCAACCCUGAUCAAAGUCAGCUGCUUGAGAUUUUCGAAUAAUCCCAAAGACAAUGAUUGGCAUUGAUUAGCAUGCUCAGGUGUGCUUGAUUAGGGUUAGAGCUAAACUCUGCAGGAAAGUGGAUCUCGAGGUCCAGAUUUGAGGAUCCCUGCCAUAGACUGUACAAAAUUAAACAUUGCUUGGUAAUUAGUAGACCUUAAUUGGUAUUAUUUAAUAGUGCAUUUUAUAGGGGUCAAAUGAUGCGAUUAAAAUUUUACCUUUCUGUUUGAAGUGUUGCAACCUCUUGGUGCAUAAGGAAGAUCUGUAAAGUUGCAAAGACUAAAGCCUCAAAUCCAAAGAGAUAAUCUUUAUAACUUUUUCAAGCCUCUCUAAAACGCCUCAUUUAAACAAGCCCCCACAUGUCUACAUCACUGUGUGAGAAGAUUUGCAUAACACCGCCCAAAUGUUCGCACAAAGAAAGAAGGGAUUACUUUUAUUCUCGCUGUAGGAUUGUUGUUGCCGCCACCGCUAUGUGGUUGAGACACUGAGUGUUUCAUUGUGAAAGUGAAACUACUUUGUAGGAUGAUAUCCUCUUUUUUCCAUUUUUUUUUCAUAUUUUAUAACUAUUUUCUAAACAAUUGAGAAUAAACUGUGAUAAUAUGAGAAAUAUUGAAGGUGUCUGAAUAAAUUUUGGUUUGACUUUGAAACCAGCUUGCCAAGGUAAGACACAUUUAUAACAGUCAAACUACUGUCAAUGUGUAUCAACCUCAUUUUGUUCAAAAUCUUUAUUACUUUCCUUCUUCUGCCGGACACAAGGUUUUGAAGAUCAGUAGGAGAAAAAGAGUUUUGGUAACCACUGAUUUCCAUUAUAUGAAAUAACAAACAAUCAGACAUUUCGCAAAAUAUAUAUUUUUGUAUAAAGCUGAUCAAUCAGAUAAUAAGGUUUUUGCUUGAAAGUACAAUGAGAGUAAACAUAUCAAACAUACACACUCCUGAUUAAGUUUGGGGGUCUGUAAGAUUUAUUUUAUUUUAUUUUAUUUUUUAUAGGCUUGAAUUUAUUUGAUGGAAAAUACAGCUAAAAUAUAUGCUGUUUGGCUGCUCAAGAAAGAUUUCUUCUUAUUAUUAGAUUGAAAACAUUUGUGCAUGCCACACCUCAUAUUUUCUUCCACCCAUGUGCUUCUGUUUGACUUAGAUUCUGUCUCCGUUUGAUUAUGUCAUAUAGUUCAAAUGUGUCUGGUUAAUUAUCCUCAUUUGCUCCUGUAUAAUAGUUGUGUUCUGUUCUCUGUUUGUCGUCCAUCUACUAUGUCCCUACAUGUGUCUCCAGCCUGUUCUGUCCUGGAUUUACACCUGUCAAUUUAUUAAAGACUAUUUACAUUUAUCAUCUUCUUCGUACAUUUAUCUUACUGUAGCAUGACAGAAAACCAGACCUAGAAGAGAAAGA